UGGAUCACCUCCUAACAGGGAGACAACAAAAUGUUUAAUAUUAUUUUGUCACCUUAGGUCGAUCGGUAUCUCACGUUCUUAAUUUAUUAAGAAUUUCAUUAUCCUAAGUUUUUCUAGGUCACACCCAUUAUUUUCCUGGGCCAUUAGCUCAGGUGGUUAGAGCGCACCCCUGAUAAGGGUGAGGUCCCUGGUUCAAGUCCAGGAUGGCCCAUAUCUCUAUGUUGGGGGUAUAGCUCAGUUGGUAGAGCGCCUGCUUUGCAAGCAGGAUGUCAGCGGUUCGAGUCCGCUUACCUCCACUGAUUACCACCUCUUACAUAAUCUGUAUGAAGGAAAUGUUUUGAGUUGUGAUCAAAUUCUGAACGAAUCUAGCUUCCUAAUGAAAUCAUUAAGAUGCUGGACUCAUUGAAUUAAUUUCAUUGUUUUCAGAGAACCUUGACAACUGCAUAGAUUAUUUUAAAGACAAUAAGCAUCUUUAAUGAUGCAGAUUUAUUAUUUGUGCAAAUGCAUUAAUAACAAUUCUAUUAAGCUGAUGCUUCAAUUUUGAAGUUAUUGGUCAAGCUACAAAGGGCUCACGGAGGAUACCUAGGCACACAGAGGCGAUGAAGG
Molecule: transfer RNA, 606 nt
Filed under: uncultured Prochlorococcus sp.
Lineage: Bacteria; Bacillati; Cyanobacteriota; Cyanophyceae; Synechococcales; Prochlorococcaceae
Description: partial contains 16S ribosomal RNA, 16S-23S ribosomal RNA intergenic spacer, and 23S ribosomal RNA
Rfam family: tRNA (bases 224-296)
Source: RNAcentral